This is a long non-coding RNA of Phyllostomus hastatus (greater spear-nosed bat), 536 nucleotides long. RefSeq lists it as uncharacterized. The record is from RefSeq and is a predicted model, not a curated record. The transcript is spliced from 3 exons. NCBI's taxonomy places the organism in Eukaryota, Metazoa, Chordata, Mammalia, Chiroptera, Phyllostomidae.
GGUCUCGCAACUUGUCAGCCACGUAGUCUGCUGAGAAUUCCCCUUCUCACCUCGCCUGCACCGGGGACCUGGGGCCGCAGCUCCGCGAGGAGAUGAAGCAUUCCUUCAAGCCAGAGCCUUCUUGACAGAAGGACUGCUGCAGAGAAGGAGGUGGGCGCUGAAUCUUCCUGGGACAGCUCAGGGUGUUGCAUGUUUUACAAACGGAAGGCAAGACCCUCCGCUGGCAAAAAGGCCUGGACUCCAUUUGUGGCGACAGCCGCCUGAUCGCGGGGGUCUGGACCCGAACCCGCAGCAUCUCCGAGGUCUGCCUCUCCUGUCCCGGAUCAGCGCCGUCCAACAGAAAUGGAACACGAGUCAUAAAUGCCCCAGCGGCCACACACAAAGGCCAAAACUAACAGGAGAAAUUAACGUUCAUAAAAUGGUAUUUAACCCAAUAUGAAUAGAGUAUCAUCGGCUCAGCAUGGAGCCGAUAUAAAAAAGUGUUCAUGAGGUUUCACAUUCUCUGUACCCAGUCAUUGACGUGCGUAAGUAUUUUA